This is a long non-coding RNA of Cyprinus carpio carpio, 565 nucleotides long. NCBI's taxonomy places the organism in Eukaryota, Metazoa, Chordata, Actinopteri, Cypriniformes, Cyprinidae. The record is from Ensembl.
UGUUUGAUGUGUGUUCAGACUGGAGCUCUCAUCCAGUUCACUGUAUAUGUGGUGAUCUUGCUCCACACUAUGGCUGCCCUCUGAUUGGUGUGUUCCUGAGUGGCACAAGAGCUAAGCACAUGUCUCACUGCCCUGAUAAAGAUGGACAAAGAAGCAGAGGUUCGAAGAGCUGCGGUCCACGUCAUUGCUCUGGUUCUCAGUGGCCUUAGUGAUAAAACCACUAAGGUUCUUGGGGAUGUUUUACUGGAGCUAUGUCAAGUGGGUGGUUAGGUCGGACCCAGAAGAGGUUCAGCAGAAACUUGAGAAAAAGAUUGUGUUACUUCCUUGAAAAGUCCUUCAGGACUAACAUAACCUCUUUAUAGACAGAGGAUUUCCUCCUAGAUUUUCACCAUACACUUGUGGUAAAUGAAAGAUUUAUACAUUUUCGGAGUGGGUUUUUUCACACCCAUAUUUUCAUUCUCAAACCAAAAACCCUGUCUUAGCAUUGAUAAACUAGCAUCAUGGCUUUUGUUAUCUGGUACACUGAGGUUAGAGGGCACCACAAGCUGUUUAAAGAGCGCUGCGG